This is a long non-coding RNA of Gasterosteus aculeatus aculeatus (three-spined stickleback), 1837 nucleotides long. RefSeq lists it as uncharacterized. The record is from RefSeq and is a predicted model, not a curated record. NCBI's taxonomy places the organism in Eukaryota, Metazoa, Chordata, Actinopteri, Perciformes, Gasterosteidae.
UCAGACUUGGUGGCCAGAAUGGUGGCGAGGAUGAUGUCCGAGAACCUCGAAGAAGGAAAAAAACAUCCUCAGUAAGAAAAAACGAGCACAGCGUGGUGGGAGGUUAAAGCACAGCAACAGCUGGGAGGAGUAAGACUGCUCACAUUGUUCACAUUCCUGUCUAUAAGAGGGGUUUGCGUUAAUAAGAUGUAUCUGCCUGUAAUGUAAUUCAACGAUGUCAGCACAAAUAAAAAGGUCUAUGCGGCCAUUGGACGGGAGAAGAGAGGAAGAGGCCUCCUUGCAACGACAGUGAAGUUGAAUGAAUGCAGAAAUAGAAAGACACAUGCUGGUUUGACUUAAGUAACUCAUGCUGCAAUUAAAGGGAUACAAAUCAAGGCGUUAACCUUCAGAAACAAAUUAAACACAUCAGACUUACCGCAUAGCACAAUUAAAAAAAGAAUGUGCUGCAUUUGCUUUACUGUAGUUUGCAUUUGAUUUAUAUUUUGUCUGCUCAUUUUUGAGGUAAAUUAAUUCUUAAUUGUAGUUUCAAACUGUUUGAUUUUCUUUUUCUCCAAAAGGGGCAUUUCAGCACAGACGAAAAGCAGAACUGCAGUCCUGAAUUGACCAAAGCACCGAUUCACUGGAUCUGCUAACGAUGAAGGAUUUGACUGAGAUUAGGGUCGGGGAUCCAUAAAAAGGACACAAAAUAGGAAAGAAGGGGAUUAAAAAAAAACGACAGGGGUGAUCUAAGCGGAGGAAAGGUGGUUUAGAAUGAUUUGGUCUUACCCUUCUACCAACUGUUCGUCAGUUAGUGGAGAUUGUUCUCUGAAAUGGGAAUUGGGCCAUAAAAAAAAGAAGAAAAAAGCAAACAAAAGGGAAAAUGCAACACACAGUUGGGCUGAAUGCAUAAAAUGGACAUCAACACAACAAACCUGUGAUAGUGUGACGUGAAAAUGCUCGUCUGCAGGUUGAUUCAAGCAAAUAACCAGUUUACUUAAUGCUAAUGUGGUCAAUGUCGUCUUAAAAGCCACAAAAGCCUCAGUUCUGGAUUAAAACCCAGAGCCUGUUUUCUUUAGAGAGGUAUGCGGGGAAAAAUAGAUGUUUGUGUCCUCUUGCCUAGUGAGCUGAAUUGAAACACUUUGAAUGAUCCGCUCCCUACAGACCUGAAGCCAACGUAACUUCAGCCAACAAACAAGGGACCAGCAUUACCUGCCGUAAAGAGGAAGCAUGAGAAAAACGAAAUACUGGGACUUAAAAAGGUUCUCUGCCUGAUAGUUUUGUUCAAAAUCGUUUAUCUUCACCAGUCAGUUAAUAAAUAAAAGUAUUGUGAGUAAAUACUUUAUCAAUAUUCUAGGAUAGAUCACAAAAUAUUAAGAGUUACACUGUUGACAGAUAACUACUGCAAGUAAACAAAGACAAAUACACCAGUGUCUUUUGUUGACAUUCCUUGAUUGUAAUGAGCCAUUUAAGGCAGAAUGAUCAUUUAUAUCAUGUUAAAGAUUAUCUAAGACAAUAUCUCGGCUGAUAUCACAAUGGUGAAAUAAUGAUGUAUUGCCCAGUGGAAAAACUGACUUCAUCUGUAUUUGUGUUUUUACUUUUUAAGUUAUAUUCAUCCCAUGUGGCUCGCCGCCAGCACAAUGCAUACUAUUCGAACCACAAAUACAUGGAACACCAAUUCUUGAUUUAAUGCACUUAAAACAAGAGUUAUGUUAAGUUAAAUUAGAUAUGGCAGAAAAGCCUUUUGCGAGUAUGUGAUUCAUUUUGGAUGAUGAUAUGGUUAGAAUGGGCUGUGCCCACCUACAGUCAAUUUCCUCAGUCAAAGAUUAGUUUAUAUAUUAAAUAAAGACCCCAUAAAUAC